RNAcentral lists this ribosomal RNA (465 nucleotides) under uncultured Klebsiella sp. RNAcentral describes it as "bacterial SSU rRNA". It matches the Rfam family "Bacterial small subunit ribosomal RNA", at positions 338 to 795 of the family's 1533-position model. The record is from RNAcentral. Lineage: Bacteria; Pseudomonadati; Pseudomonadota; Gammaproteobacteria; Enterobacterales; Enterobacteriaceae.
CCUACGGGAGGCUGCAGUGGGGAAUAUUGCACAAUGGGCGCAAGCCUGAUGCAGCCAUGCCGCGUGUGUGAAGAAGGCCUUCGGGUUGUAAAGCACUUUCAGCGGGGAGGAAGGCGGUGAGGUUAAUAACCUCAUCGAUUGACGUUACCCGCAGAAGAAGCACCGGCUAACUCCGUGCCAGCAGCCGCGGUAAUACGGAGGGUGCAAGCGUUAAUCGGAAUUACUGGGCGUAAAGCGCACGCAGGCGGUCUGUCAAGUCGGAUGUGAAAUCCCCGGGCUCAACCUGGGAACUGCAUUCGAAACUGGCAGGCUAGAGUCUUGUAGAGGGGGGUAGAAUUCCAGGUGUAGCGGUGAAAUGCGUAGAGAUCGGGAGGAAUACCGGUGGCGAAGGCGGCCCCCUGGACAAAGACUGACGCUCAGGUGCGAAAGCGUGGGGAGCAAACAGGAUUAGAUACCCGUGUAGUC